Molecule: long non-coding RNA, 1188 nt
Filed under: Equus caballus (horse)
Lineage: Eukaryota; Metazoa; Chordata; Mammalia; Perissodactyla; Equidae
Description: lncRNA (ENSECAG00000029141.2)
Source: RNAcentral
CAGGGAUGCAGGAGGUGACCUGGCCCACCAAGGGGAGAGAUGUGACGACGCAGGGAGAACUGGGUGGCUCCUGGUGGCUGAAGCCACGCCCACCAGUCCCUCCAGACACGCGACUGUUUUAUGAGCAAAUUACCGAGAACACUUUGAUCUUCAGGGGUUUGUGGCUUUGGAUCCCGGGCGCAGACCUACACACCACUCAUCAAGCCAUGCUGUGGCAGCAUCCCUCAGACAAAAUAGAGGAAGACUGGCACAGAUUCUUGUGGGGAGAGGGGGCCAUGCAGGCGAGCACAGCUAACCGAGGGACAAUAAUGAAUUUGGAACUGCAGCCUCGUCCUUCUGAUCGUCAGGGGCCAGGUCAUCCUUUUUGCCACCAGGAAUCAACUGUGUCCCGUGAUGUCUUCAGUUUGAACAGACAGAUAAUCCGAAAGAGAUUACUGCCCCUCGGCUCACCGGCACAGGCGAUGGCAGCUCAUAUGAAGCGCAGCACGUCCCCAGACGCACUGCACCCCGACCACAGGCCCACGGGGAGCUGACGGCGGCACCUGUCUGCUUGGCAGGUGACGAUGCUUGGCCCACAGUGAACACUUCUGCCUGAGAAUAGGGAGGUGUAAAGUGAUUCAGCAUACUCCAGGCACGAGUGUCUCUCCUUUGUCCUUUCAAUGAUGAAGUGCUGGCAGCUUGGGAGUAAACAGCAGCACUGGGGAGAAACGGGCCUUUUCUUUUAUAAAAGAUAAACCCGAAUGCGACGGAUGCUGUUUGCCCGGGUCAGCGAGGCGUCCACGCUAAGCUGAUUAGCUCUGGGCAAAGAAGAAAGACAAACACUGGUUUGAAGGUCGCCCUCAUCUGACUGCUCACAAAUGUUCCAGCUCCAGACAAGCCCUCCGCCUCUGCUGCCUCCGCCUGCUCCCUCCACCCGCUGCCAGCAAGCGGGUCUCUCCCCAGAAUGAGGCCGGGGGCAUGGAUACAGGACACACAGCAGGACGCCCUGCCCCGCCAGCCCUGACCCGGGCAGCCCAGGGAGGGCCUGGGGAGCUGGGACUGGCAGGCUUGGCUGGACGUCACCCUGGGCACUGGGGCUGUGGUCACCAGCCCCUCUGCACACGGAGCUGGUGCAGAAGGCACCCGGCUGGCCUAGGGAGGGGCUGGGAAGGGGCUGGAAGAGAAGCCCUUGCAGUUUUUGGUUUCGCU